Molecule: long non-coding RNA, 1189 nt
Organism: Callithrix jacchus (white-tufted-ear marmoset)
Lineage: Eukaryota; Metazoa; Chordata; Mammalia; Primates; Cebidae
Source: RefSeq, a predicted model, not a curated record
CCUGCCUACAGGAGGCUUUGUGGCAUGUCUCUGGCCUUAUUACCUUGAAAGAGGCGUGGUGGCUCAGGCCUGUAAUCCCUGCACUUUGGGAGGCCACGGCAGGCGGAUUAUGAGGUCUCUCUGUAUCUAAGCUGGACCUGGUGACAUUUUUGGAGGGAAGGAAAGAGCCCUGAACUGUGAAGAGAGAGGGGACCGUGGCCUAGCACAGCCAGGUAAGUGGGAGUGACAGAAGUAGGUGUGUUGGGUGAGAGGUCCAAAGAUCAAGAAGCCAGAUUUUUUUUGUCUUCCAUUAUUUUAUUAUAUGUACGCAGAUCUGUUUUAUGUACAACAAUUGAUUCUAUCAAAUAAUUAAACCAAGGCGUUCUACUGGUAAUUUUCCCACAAAUCAAUUCAAGUAGGGCUAGAUAUUUAUGCACUUUACGGGCUAUCAAAACUUGAGAUUUCAUUAUUAACUUCAGUUCUGAGGCCAUAGAUACAAUUCAAAAUAUACAUUAACUAGGUUAAGGUGAUAAAAGUGGGCUCAAAGAAACCACAGGAUUCAGAACAAUGAAACCAUGUAUUUUGUUUACAUGAGAGUCACAAUGCAAACGCAUGUGAAGCUCUUCUGUGUUGAGGGAGCAGCUUCUGAAUAUCUAAGGUGAUUGCAUAGCAGGUGGGCAAACAACUGUUGUGGCCUCCUGGAGGCUCAGCCCUGGGCUAAUUUCUUCUCUGCCUCUGCUUUUUUUGUUUUUUUUUGAGACGAAGUUUCGCUGUUGUUACCCAGACUGGAGUGCAAUGGCACGAUGUCGGCUCACCGCAACCUCCAUCUCCUGGGUUCAAGCAAUUCUCCUGCCUCAGCCUCCAGAGUAGCUGGAACUACAGGCGCGCACCACCAGGCCUAGCUAAUUUUUUUUGUAUUUUUAGUAGAGACGGGGUUUCACCUCGUUGACCAGGAUGGUCUCGAUCUCUUGACCUCGUGAUCCACCCACCUUGGCCUCCCAAAGUGUUGGGAUUAUAGGCGUGAGCCACCGCGCCUGGCCUGCUUUUUUAGGUUUAUUUUUUUUUCUUUCCUGGUUUUUUUGACACUGGGUCUUACUCUGCUUUCACCCAGGCUGGAGUGCAGCGGCACAAUCUUGGCUCACUAAACCUCUGAAUCCUGAGUUCGAGUGAUUCUCGUGACUCAGCCUCUCAAGUAGCUGGGAUUACAGAA